Triticum aestivum (bread wheat) is the source of this 114-nucleotide non-coding RNA. NCBI's taxonomy places the organism in Eukaryota, Viridiplantae, Streptophyta, Magnoliopsida, Poales, Poaceae. The record is from Rfam.
ACCAUGUGAAUGUACGACCCAACAUUUGGAGGUGCAAAUGGCUCAGGGAUCCUGUUCACAGGAUGAACUUACCCGGAGGUGCUGUAUUCACAUGACAUUGGGCAGGCCUGAGGU